GGCCAGUUAGCUUAGUCAGUUGAGCACGGUGCUGAUAACACCAAGGUCGCGGGUUCAAUUCCCAUUUGGUCC
RNAcentral lists this transfer RNA (72 nucleotides) under Apaloderma vittatum (bar-tailed trogon). It matches the Rfam family "tRNA". Rfam says of the family: Transfer RNA (tRNA) molecules are approximately 80 nucleotides in length. The record is from Rfam by way of RNAcentral. Lineage: Eukaryota; Metazoa; Chordata; Aves; Trogoniformes; Trogonidae.